ACGCUGGCGGCGUGCCUAAUACAUGCAAGUAGAACGCUGAAGAGAGGAGCUUGCUCUUCUUGGAUGAGUUGCGAACGGGUGAGUAACGCGUAGGUAACCUGCCUUGUAGCGGGGGAUAACUAUUGGAAACGAUAGCUAAUACCGCAUAACAAUAGGUGACACAUGUCAUUUAUUUGAAAGGGGCAAUUGCUCCACUACAAGAUGGACCUGCGUUGUAUUAGCUAGUAGGUGAGGUAACGGCUCACCUAGGCGACGAUACAUAGCCGACCUGAGAGGGUGAUCGGCCACACUGGGACUGAGACACGGCCCAGACUCCUACGGGAGGCAGCAGUAGGGAAUCUUCGGCAAUGGGGGCAACCCUGACCGAGCAACGCCGCGUGAGUGAAGAAGGUUUUCGGAUCGUAAAGCUUUGUUGUAAGUCAAGAACGAGUGUGAGAGUGGAAAGUUCACACUGUGACGGUAGCUUACCAGAAAGGGACGGCUAACUACGUGCCAGCAGCCGCGGUAAUACGUAGGUCCCGAGCGUUGUCCGGAUUUAUUGGGCGUAAAGCGAGCGCAGGCGGUUUGAUAAGUCUGAAGUUAAAGGCUGUGGCUCAACCAUAGUUCGCUUUGGAAACUGUCAAACUUGAGUGCAGAAGGGGAGAGUGGAAUUCCAUGUGUAGCGGUGAAAUGCGUAGAUAUAUGGAGGAACACCGGUGGCGAAAGCGGCUCUCUGGCUUGUAACUGACGCUGAGGCUCGAAAGCGUGGGGAGCAAACAGGAUUAGAUACCCUGGUAGUCCACGCCGUAAACGAUGAGUGCUAGGUGUUAGACCCUUUCCGGGGUUUAGUGCCGCAGCUAACGCAUUAAGCACUCCGCCUGGGGAGUACGACCGCAAGGUUGAAACUCAAAGGAAUUGACGGGGGCCCGCA
RNAcentral lists this ribosomal RNA (910 nucleotides) under uncultured bacterium. Its description in RNAcentral is "bacterial SSU rRNA". It matches the Rfam family "Bacterial small subunit ribosomal RNA", at positions 33 to 925 of the family's 1533-position model. The record is from RNAcentral.